RNAcentral lists this transfer RNA (72 nucleotides) under Ovis aries (sheep). It matches the Rfam family "tRNA". Rfam says of the family: Transfer RNA (tRNA) molecules are approximately 80 nucleotides in length. Their secondary structure includes four short double-helical elements and three loops (D, anti-codon, and T loops). Further hydrogen bonds mediate the characteristic L-shaped molecular structure. tRNAs have two regions of fundamental functional importance: the anti-codon, which is responsible for specific mRNA codon recognition, and the 3' end, to which the tRNAs corresponding amino acid is attached (by aminoacyl-tRNA synthetases). tRNAs cope with the degeneracy of the genetic code in two manners: having more than one tRNA (with a specific anti-codon) for a particular amino acid; and 'wobble' base-pairing, i.e. permitting non-standard base-pairing at the 3rd anti-codon position. The record is from Rfam by way of RNAcentral. Lineage: Eukaryota; Metazoa; Chordata; Mammalia; Artiodactyla; Bovidae.
UUCUUGGUGGCUCAGAUGGUAAAGAAUCUGCCUGCAAUGCAGGGGACCUGGGUUCGACCCCUGGCUUGGGAA